CAGAACGAACGCUGGCGGCAUGCCUAACACAUGCAAGUCGAACGAACCCUUCGGGGUUAGUGGCGCACGGGUGCGUAACGCGUGGGAAUCUGCCCUUAGGUACGGAAUAACUCAGGGAAACUUGUGCUAAUACCGUAUGAUGUCGAGAGACCAAAGAUUUAUCGCCAAAGGAUCGGCCCGCGUUGGAUUAGGUAGUUGGUGGGGUAAUGGCCUACCAAGCCGACGAUCCAUAGCUGGUUUGAGAGGAUGAUCAGCCACACUGGGACUGAGACACGGCCCAGACUCCUACGGGAGGCAGCAGUGGGGAAUCUUAGACAAUGGGCGCAAGCCUGAUCUAGCCAUGCCGCGUGAGCGAUGAAGGCCUUAGGGUUGUAAAGCUCUUUCAGUGGGGAAGAUAAUGACUGUACCCACAGAAGAAGCCCCGGCUAACUCCGUG
This 436-nucleotide ribosomal RNA is filed under the name uncultured bacterium. RNAcentral describes it as "bacterial SSU rRNA". It matches the Rfam family "Bacterial small subunit ribosomal RNA", at positions 25 to 507 of the family's 1533-position model. The record is from RNAcentral.